UCCGUGGCGCGCGAGGACCGACCCCCGAGGCCCGAUCGCCCUCCCCGCGACGGCCAACGCCGCGGGUACGAUUUCGACGGUCGCAAGGUGUACUUCGGCAACCUGUCCUGGGGCAUGGACCACCUCGACCUCCAGGAUCUGUGCGGGGAGUUUGGCACCGUGGAGGAUGCGCGGCUCAUCACCGACCGCGAGACGAAUCGCUCCAGGGGUUUCGGGUUCGUGACCAUGUCCACCGUGGCGGAGGCGGAGGAGGUCGUCAACCAGCUCAACGGGCAGGACGUCGAUGGACGCGUGCUCCGCGUCAACAUCGCCAACGUCGACAAGUAAGCGCGACGGGGGUAAGGUGACGAUGUGACUGACGCGUUCCUUCGGGGAAAAAUUACGGAUAUCAUUGUUUUUUGCUAAGUAACACAAACGGGGAGACACGCGGUGGAUGACGCGGCGGGGGAGGCGGCGACGCGGUUGUAGCUUAUUGUCUUCUCUCACUGGCGAUGCGGUUGCACAGCUUGUACAGGCGACGCGAGAGCCACGCUUGCAGGUUUUCGUUUGAACCCCCGGGACAAUGCGUCCCGGUUGUAACACGAAAUUUCAGGCUGAAGUUUUUCAACACGGUUUCGCUCGCCAUCCUCAGAUUGACCUCCCCGGCGC
This 648-nucleotide long non-coding RNA is filed under the name Micromonas commoda. RNAcentral's name for it is "long non-coding RNA (MCOM_LNC000202)". The record is from RNAcentral. Lineage: Eukaryota; Viridiplantae; Chlorophyta; Mamiellophyceae; Mamiellales; Mamiellaceae.